This is a long non-coding RNA of Pygocentrus nattereri (red-bellied piranha), 808 nucleotides long. RefSeq lists it as uncharacterized. The transcript has 3 exons. The record is from RefSeq and is a predicted model, not a curated record. Lineage: Eukaryota; Metazoa; Chordata; Actinopteri; Characiformes; Serrasalmidae.
GUCAGCUCCGCCUCGUCAUAUCUGUUUCACUAAUGAAAAACACUUUUCUUGAAGUAUAUGAAAUAUUUGGCUCUUAUUUCGCUGUAAACCCGUUGUGUGAAUGUAACGUUAAUUAACGCGGUUUGUUGUCAAACCUUUGAGGAUUCUUUCCUGUUAGCGAGUUAGCAUCCGAACGCUAAUCUUAGCUUAGCUUACACUGCACUAGCUUUAUGACUUGGCAGGAGCUGAAAAUAAAAAUAAGACGGAGAUCUACAAAGGUGUGCGUAUGACAGCCCUCUUAGCCCUUUCAGUACAUUUAAAAACCCAUCCGUGCAGCAGGAGGACCGUUUUGACUUGCGCCGGUUUAUGUAACCUAGCCUCCCGUUAUUCAGUGGCUAUGCUAGCGUGAGGCACCAGAAAGACUGCAGCACAUUUUACGGUGGAACGAGAAAAUUCAGACAAGAAGCGGGCGAAGGAGAAGCUGAAAGCGUCGAGGAUAUCGCUGUGUUUGACAGAUGAGGCAUCUAUACGAUCAGUAACUCGAUCAGGAUCGGCUAUCGGACGAUUGUGCUGAAAAGCGAUCGGUUUUGGCCCCAGAACGCUGGUCGGGCCAUCUCUAGAUAAAAAGAAACACCUACGUAAAACAGGUCGUCUUCAGCUGGACUACUUACCAUCCCCCCAUCUAACCUCCAAGGCUUUGGUUAUCGAGCCUUCUCAAGAUUUGCCGCUAGACUCUGGAACUCUCUUACACUACUGGUCAAACAAUCCAAUUCACUCCCCACAUUCAAAUCUAACCUGAAAUCUUAUUUUUCACACUUACCUAUAACCU